GGAACGUUUGCUGAAGGGGGGGUGAGAAGAGCUCGAUUGCUUCCAUCCUCCUUCCUCUUCAACAUGUUUUUUUUUUCAAUGCGAUUUCCUUUCGCGAAGGGGCUGGGCCCCGUCGCGGCACGCAGCUGGAGGCAGAACGCGGGGUUUUGUUUACCAGCGUCUGUCCUGGUCCUGCUGCCCUAGCAGCUGGCUGGUUGGCGGAUUCCGCUCUAACCCUCGGGCGCUCCGACCGCAGGCGCACCGCACCUCGGCAUGGCAUGAAGGAUCCUGGCAGGGCUCCCUUCCCAAGUCAAGAGAUUGUAAAUAUAGCCUGGCUGUUGUUUACAUGAACCAUCCCGGAGGGAGGAGCGUCAGCGUAGGAAGGAGGAGGAAGAGGAAGAUGGAGACACGCAGGAAUCUCUCUGGCUGGGGCUGCCUAGGCUAGGGAAGGUAGGAUGUUCACCCCAGGGCUCCACCGCAAGGCAAGUUUACACCACCAGGCCAGAGAGCUGAGAGGGUUCCGUGGACAGCAGCUUGACAGCUAAAGCUAAGUGAGAGGAUAUUUGGGUAGUGUGUGCUCUAUUUGUGUGUUUUUUUUCCUGGGGGGGGUGUGCAGUACAGCAUAUUGUUUGAAUUUUAUGCCAAAAUGUCUUGAACAUUUGGUGUUUUCUAGUUUUAGGAACCCUUGCUAGCUGCCAGCUCAAAGAUCAUGCCUGUCUUUUUAAAUGCAAUCUUGGCUCAGGCCUGUACUCACCCUUUUCAUCUGCCCACUGUAAGCCAAAAAAAAUUGAGCUGGUUAAGGCAACCAGGAUCAGAAAUGGUGAAGGACUGGAAGGAGAGGGAGAUACAUGCUCUCUAGAGAGAGAGUGGAGAGCUCUGACUUCAAAACUCUAUUAGUUGACAUGUGCAUACUUGAAGGAAUUCAAGAGAAGAUGAUGGAGUUUGAUGCAGCCCUACAGUAAGGACGGCUAAAAGUUGCAUCAGCCAAAAUUCUCUCAUCUGUAGAACCAGAACCUUGAGUGUGAAAAAGCCUGUCUCCAAUGGAUGCUGAUAUAUCUUUCCUAUCACACUGGUCCCCGCAAGAACUCUCUGAGAGUGUGAGGAAAUUACCCAAGGCCCACCUAAACUGUUUCGUGGAACAAGCAGAAAUUGCAUGCUUCCUGUUCAGAAGCUGGGCUCGUAUAACUUGUGCCGCACUGUAGUGCUUUAAGAGUUGACUUUUUACAGGNAGAAGUCAAUGCAUUUCUUCAAAUCCUAGUUGCGUUUAUCCAGAAGUAAGUUCCGUUGGACAUCUAUUACUGGUUUACUAUUUAUUUGCAAGGCUGUUCAAACUUUGUGAAUUAUGUUUAUGAACAUACUUUAGUGUGUGUGUGAUUGUGAGUUUUAUUUCCAGCUGGCUUCUGGGAAGUCAUGCAAGGUAAGAAUAUGGGGUUUCUGACCAUGGUCAGAGUUUGCUGCCAUCAUCUGCUAUCAAUAGUUCUUGCAAUGGGAAGUGAUUUUUUAGGUGUAAUCCCACAUCUUUCACCCAAGGAGUUAACCAGUGUAUUAUGGCUGAGUUCUGAAAUAGAAAGUGUCUAGAAAUAGAAAGUGGUUAGAAAGCUAUAAUAAUAUAAAAUAAUUCAGGUAGGCUAUGCAGGCUGAGGUUGAUAGGAGACAUGAUUCAGAAAUAUCUGUAGGGCCACUGCUGGCCCAGUGCUGAAAUAGGGAACAAACUUAAAAUAAUAGCCCUUUUAAUAGUACAGAAUAUGCAGUAAUGUUGCUGCAUUAUCUCAAUAGUUAGUUUCCAUCUCUUUAUUUUAGCUUUGUGCUGUAACUUGUUUGGAUAUUUCUUAGAAGUGAUUGUGCCAGCUGGCUAUGCAUCAGUCACUUUCAAGGUUGGUGUUUUGCCCACUCACCUGUCUUAUAUAUUUAUUAUUCGCUGUUCCUCCAGGGAACAGAGUGAAGAGUGGAGAUUGCAGGGCACCAAAUUUCGUCCAGACAUUAGGAAGAGUAAACACUCUCAGGAUCUGACGAGCUUUCCUUCUAUAAAUGCCAUCUGUUAGCUAUUCUUUCCAGUUGUAUAAAGUUUUGUGCCCCCAUCAGUCUUGCGCAUUUCAGGGCUGUCAUACAAGAAAUAACAUUUUAACAUCUAUACCUGUGACACUUGUAACAGGCAGAUCUGCUUAAAAAGGACUUAUCCAUGCCUUGGGUGCCANCACCCAAAAAAAAGCUGCCUCCCUUAUUUCCGGUAGUACCUCUGUUUUUAAAAGAAAAAAAACAUCUCAUGAAGGUUUUACAGGGAAUCUCAGAAUAUGGAGAGGUAGAUUCAGAAGGAGGUAAAGAAAACUCUAUGCUAUAAUUUUAGUUUAUUUUGUGAUCUACUAGGGGUCAGUCCUAUUUCUUUACUUUAUAAGAGAUACAGGAUUGUUUUUAAAAUAUUUNGCAAAACAAGGGGCUUGCUUGGUGCUGUGUGGGUAGGAAAGGGUCACGCUGCCACAGUGCUUAAAUCAUCCCUGUGCUUCAUGAUAACUGACUGGGUUAUAUUUUAACAAAAUAUACAAGUGUUUUCUUCCUAUGUGACAAAGGUCUAGGUCUGUGGCCUUGAUUACAUCACUGUGGUAUCUGUGAUUUUGACACAUAGAUUCUCUAAAUACAUAAUUUGUACCUAAUUUGCUUCCCCUAAUUUUCAUCGGCAUUAGCAAGGUUGUUUGAAAGCAAAAAUGUGUCUGCCCUGUCUCUCCAAUCGUUUUUCUUUUCCUUGCUUCUGUUGCCUCCAUAGGGAGGUAUAGGGUCAAUAGUGUUAACGUAACUGGAGACUUUCAUACCUUUUAUAUCGGAGCACAGCUUGUAAUUCUGCUGAUAUUGUAUGUAUUGUCAAUGUGUGGCAUUUUGGAAAGAAUUGCCUAGACCUCAAGACUUUCAGAAGAAAAAUAAGUGAAGAUUGUACCUCUGUAGUCAUAAUAAGGUAAUCUGACAAUUUAUUAAUUGAAUUCAUUUUUUUGGUGCAUUCAUAAGAACAUAAUAAAUGCCCUGCUGAUUUGGACCUGUGACCCA
This 3012-nucleotide long non-coding RNA is filed under the name Salvator merianae (Argentine black and white tegu). Its description in RNAcentral is "lncRNA (ENSSMRG00000019952.1)". Lineage: Eukaryota; Metazoa; Chordata; Lepidosauria; Squamata; Teiidae. The record is from RNAcentral.